ACUGCAAAGAUGCCGAGCAGAAAGGGGAAGUGGCGUUCGAUUUGAUGGUGAAUAGAUAAAUGGUGGCCUGAAAGAGCUAUUUAUAGAGAGAGAAACCAGGUUGCAAAUCAGAACUACGUGAGAAACUAGGAAAUAAAGGCGACAUGAACUUACUAUUCUUGCAUGAACGAAAGGGCAGGCCACUUGAGACAGAAUCAGGGUCAGGGGAAAAGGUAAAAUUUGAAGAUGUUAAGGAGUUGAUGAAGAUCUAGAGAAGAAGCAAAAAAAUAUCCAGAUAGGUUAUCUUUGGAGAGGAUCCGGGGACCUCUCUUCCUCUGAGACCUUAGAGGAGGAAAGGAUGACAGGUGCACAAUUCUGUGACUUUUGGUAAAUGCAUAGAGCUGAGCAGCCAUCAUCACAGUCCAGUUUUAGAACAUCUUCAUCGCCCACAGCCUCUCGUUUCUGCCUCUGACGGGCGUUUGGAUGGCUUCCACCUUGGGGCUGCUGUGAGUAGUGCCGCUAUAGACGUUCACAUGUGAGUCUUUGUGUGAACACAUGUUUUCAUUUCUCUUGCGCAUACAGCCAAGGCCGGAGUGUCUGGAUCCCAUGAUAAGUUUACUGUUCAACUUUUUAAGAAACCGCCAAACCGUUUUCUGAAGCAGUGGUACCACUUACACCCCCACGAGCUAUACAUGGGGCUUGUGGUUUCUCCUCAGGACCGGUGUCUUUGAUCCAUUUUUUUUUCCCACUCUGAUCUACCUUGAGUCAAUUUUUGUGCUUAUGUGACGUAAGAGUCUAAGUUUCUUAAAUUUGAAUAUCCGCUUGUCUCAGUACUAUUUUUCGAAAGGACUGUUUUCCCCCAUUGAAUCGUUUGGGCACCUUUGCAGGAAAGCAGUGGUCAUAAAUGUGAAGACGAGUUUAUUUCUGGACUCUCAGGUUUGUUCCUUAUUCCAGCCCCACACUGCCUUGCUCACUGUAGCUCCUCUAACAAGUUUUGAAAUUGUGAAGUGUAAGCCAGUCCACCAACUUGGUUCUUUUUAAAAAUCUGGCUAUUUUAGAUGCUUUGCAUUUUUAAAAUAAAUUUUAGGAUCGUUUUGUCUAUUUCUACAAAAAAAAAAAGAAAAGAAAAGAAAGGCAUUCCGGGGAUUUGAUAGG
Non-coding RNA from Sus scrofa (pig), 1134 nucleotides. The record is from RefSeq and is a predicted model, not a curated record. Lineage: Eukaryota; Metazoa; Chordata; Mammalia; Artiodactyla; Suidae.